Molecule: ribosomal RNA, 425 nt
Filed under: uncultured bacterium
Lineage: Bacteria
Description: partial 16S ribosomal RNA
Rfam family: Bacterial small subunit ribosomal RNA
Source: RNAcentral
GUAGGGAAUAUUGCACAAUGGAGGAAACUCUGAUGCAGCGACGCCGCGUGAGUGAUGAAGGCCUUCGGGUCGUAAAACUCUGUGAUAAGGGAAGAUGAUGACGGUACCUUAUCAGAAAAGACCGGCUAACUUCGUGCCAGCAGCCGCGGUAAUACGAGGGGUCUAAGCGUUGUUCGGAAUCACUGGGCGUAAAGCGGGUGUAGGUGGCUAUGCAAGUUGGAUGUGAAAGCCCCGGGCUCAAACCGGGAAGUGCAUCCAAAACUACGUAGCUUGAGUGAGGGAGAGAAAGGCAGAAUUCCUGGUGUAGUGGUGAAAUACGUAGAUAUCAGGAGGAACUCCGGUGGCGAAGGCGGCCUUUUGGCCCAGCACUGACACUCAGACCCGAAAGCGUGGGUAGCAAACAGGAUUAGAAACCCGUGUAGUCC